This 425-nucleotide ribosomal RNA is filed under the name uncultured bacterium. RNAcentral describes it as "bacterial SSU rRNA". It matches the Rfam family "Bacterial small subunit ribosomal RNA", at positions 354 to 796 of the family's 1533-position model. The record is from RNAcentral.
GUGGGGAAUAUUGGACAAUGGGCGCAAGCCUGAUCCAGCCAUGCCGCGUGAGUGAUGAAGGCCUUAGGGUUGUAAAGCUCUUUCAGUGGGGACGAUAAUGACGGUACCCACAGAAGAAGCCCCGGCUAACUUCGUGCCAGCAGCCGCGGUAAUACGAAGGGGGCUAGCGUUGUUCGGAUUUACUGGGCGUAAAGCGCACGUAGGCGGAUCGUUAAGUCGGGGGUGAAAUCCUGGAGCUCAACUCCAGAACUGCCUUCGAUACUGGCGAUAUUGAGUCCGGAAGAGGUGAGUGGAACUCCUAGUGUAGAGGUGGAAUUCGUAGAUAUUAGGAAGAACACCAGUGGCGAAGGCGGCUCACUGGUCCGGUACUGACGCUGAGGUGCGAAAGCGUGGGGAGCAAACAGGAUUAGAAACCCGGGUAGUCC